CAAAGGCAUGGUCCCGACCUUACUAUCAGCUUUAACCCAACUUACACAUGCAAGUCUCCGCAGCCCUGUGAAUACGCCCUCAAUCCCCCGCCCGGGGACAAGGAGCAGGCAUCAGGCACAAAUUUUUUAGCCCAUAACGCCUAGCCAAGCCACGCCCCCAAGGGAGGUCAGCAGUGAUAAACAUUAAGACAUAAGUGAAAACUUGACUCAGUCAGGGUUAAGAGGGCCGGUAAACCCUCGUGCCAGCCACCGCGGUUAGACGAUGGGCCCCAGUUGAUUAUAUAGCGGCGUAAAGGGUGGUUAGGAUAAACAAAAUAAUAAAGCCAAAUGGCCCUUUGGCCGUCAUACGCUUCUAGGUGUCCGAAGCCCAACCACACGAAAGUGGCUUUAACAAGACCCGCCCGACCCCACGAAAGCUAAGAAACAAACUGGGAUUAGAUACCCCACUAUGCUUAGCCAUAAACCUAGACGUCCACCUACUGCUUGACGUUCGCCCGGGUACUACGAGCAUCAGCUUAAAACCCAAAGGACCUGACGGUGCCUUAGAUCCCCCUAGAGGAGCCUGUUCUAGAACCGAUAACCCCCGUUUAACCUCACCACUUCUAGUUAUCCCAGCCUAUAUACCGCCGUCGCCAGCUCACCCUGUGAAGGUAAUAAAAGUAAGCAAAACGGGCACAGCCCAGAACGUCAGGUCGAGGUGUAGCGCACGAAGUGGGAAGAAAUGGGCUACAUUUUCUAUCAUCAGAACACUACGAAUUUGGCAACAUGAAAUAGUGCUUGAAGGAGGAUUUAGUAGUAAAAAGGAAGCAGAGUGUCCUUUUGAAUCCGGCUCUAAGGCGCGUACACACCGCCCGUCACUCUCCCCUGUUAAUUACGCAUAAUAUAUAUUUAAUACCAAAGCAUCAACUAGAGGAGGCAAGUCGUAACAUGGUAAGUGUACCGGAAGGUGCACUUGGAUUAAACC
This 964-nucleotide non-coding RNA is filed under the name Saurogobio immaculatus. RNAcentral describes it as "12S rRNA". It matches the Rfam family "Bacterial small subunit ribosomal RNA". Lineage: Eukaryota; Metazoa; Chordata; Actinopteri; Cypriniformes; Gobionidae. The record is from RNAcentral.